ACGAUGGAGCUUGCUCCAGGCGUCGAGCGGCGGACGGGUGAGUAAUGCAUAGGAAUCUGCCCGGUAGUGGGGGAUAACCUGGGGAAACCCAGGCUAAUACCGCAUACGUCCUACGGGAGAAAGCAGGGGAUCUUCGGACCUUGCGCUAUCGGAUGAGCCUAUGUCGGAUUAGCUUGUUGGUGAGGUAAUGGCUCACCAAGGCGACGAUCCGUAGCUGGUCUGAGAGGAUGAUCAGCCACAUCGGGACUGAGACACGGCCCGAACUCCUACGGGAGGCAGCAGUGGGGAAUAUUGGACAAUGGGCGAAAGCCUGAUCCAGCCAUGCCGCGUGUGUGAAGAAGGCUUUCGGGUUGUAAAGCACUUUCAGUGAGGAAGAAGGCCUUGGGGCUAAUACCCCCGAGGAAGGACAUCACUCACAGAAGAAGCACCGGCUAACUCCGUGCCAGCAGCCGCGGUAAUACGGAGGGUGCGAGCGUUAAUCGGAAUUACUGGGCGUAAAGCGCGCGUAGGCGGCGUGAUAAGCCGGUUGUGAAAGCCCCGGGCUCAACCUGGGAACGGCAUCCGGAACUGUCAGGCUAGAGUGCAGGAGAGGAAGGUAGAAUUCCCGGUGUAGCGGUGAAAUGCGUAGAGAUCGGGAGGAAUACCAGUGGCGAAGGCGGCCUUCUGGACUGACACUGACGCUGAGGUGCGAAAGCGUGGGUAGCAAACAGGAUUAGAUACCCUGGUAGUCCACGCCGUAAACGAUGUCGACUAGCCGUUGGGGUCCUAGAGACCUUUGUGGCGCAGUUAACGCGAUAAGUCGACCGCCUGGGGAGUACGGCCGCAAGGUUAAAACUCAAAUGAAUUGACGGGGGCCCGCACAAGCGGUGGAGCAUGUGGUUUAAUUCGAUGCAACGCGAAGAACCUUACCUACCCUUGACAUCGUGCGAACUUUCCAGAGAUGGAUUGGUGCCUUCGGGAACGCACAGACAGGUGCUGCAUGGCUGUCGUCAGCUCGUGUUGUGAAAUGUUGGGUUAAGUCCCGUAACGAGCGCAACCCUUGUCCCUAUUUGCCAGCGAUUCGGUCGGGAACUCUAGGGAGACUGCCGGUGACAAACCGGAGGAAGGUGGGGACGACGUCAAGUCAUCAUGGCCCUUACGGGUAGGGCUACACACGUGCUACAAUGGCCGGUACAAAGGGUUGCAAAGCCGCGAGGUGGAGCUAAUCCCGAAAAGCCGGUCUCAGUCCGGAUCGGAGUCUGCAACUCGACUCCGUGAAGUCGGAAUCGCUAGUAAUCGUGAAUCAGAAUGUCACGGUGAAUACGUUCCCGGGCCUUGUACACACCGCCCGUCACACCAUGGGAGUGGACUGCACCAGAAGUGGUUAGCCUAACU
This 1374-nucleotide ribosomal RNA is filed under the name Halomonas ventosae. RNAcentral's name for it is "bacterial SSU rRNA". It matches the Rfam family "Bacterial small subunit ribosomal RNA", at positions 70 to 1440 of the family's 1533-position model. Lineage: Bacteria; Pseudomonadati; Pseudomonadota; Gammaproteobacteria; Oceanospirillales; Halomonadaceae. The record is from RNAcentral.